UACGGAGGAUGCGAGCGUUAUCCGGAUUUAUUGGGUUUAAAGGGUGCGUAGGCGGACGCUUAAGUCAGCGGUAAAAUUGCGGGGCUCAACCUCGUCGAGCCGUUGAAACUGGGUGUCUUGAGUGGGCGAGAAGUACGCGGAAUGCGUGGUGUAGCGGUGAAAUGCAUAGAUAUCACGCAGAACUCCGAUUGCGAAGGCAGCGUACCGGCGCCCAACUGACGCUGAAGCACGAAGGCGUGGGUAUCGAGCAGG
This 252-nucleotide ribosomal RNA is filed under the name uncultured bacterium. RNAcentral's name for it is "partial 16S ribosomal RNA". It matches the Rfam family "Bacterial small subunit ribosomal RNA", at positions 524 to 776 of the family's 1533-position model. The record is from RNAcentral.